CAAUAGCGUAUAUUAAUGUUGUUGCAGUUAAAAAGCUCGUAGUUGGAUUUCUGGUGGGAGCGGCCGGUCCGCCGUAAGGUGUGUACUUGGUUGUCUCCUGUCAUCCUUGUGGGAACUGCUCUGGCAUUAAGUUGUCGGGGUUAGGGAACACAUCGUUUACUGUGAAAAAAUUGGAGUGUUUAAAGCAGGCUUAUGCCGUUGAAUACAUUAGCAUGGAAUAAUAAGAUAGGACUUUGGCGUCUAUUUUGUUGGUUUGCACACCAAGGUAAUGAUUAAUAGGGAUAGUUGGGGGUAUUCGUAUUUAAUUGUCAGAGGUGAAAUUCUUGGAUUUAUGAAAGACGAACUUCUGCGAAAGCAUUUACCAAAGAUGUUUUCAUUAA
RNAcentral lists this ribosomal RNA (380 nucleotides) under uncultured eukaryote. RNAcentral describes it as "partial 18S ribosomal RNA". It matches the Rfam family "Eukaryotic small subunit ribosomal RNA", at positions 592 to 976 of the family's 1831-position model. The record is from RNAcentral.